Molecule: ribosomal RNA, 24 nt
Filed under: Alternaria sp. MY-2011
Lineage: Eukaryota; Fungi; Ascomycota; Dothideomycetes; Pleosporales; Pleosporaceae
Description: partial 28S large subunit ribosomal RNA
Source: RNAcentral
UUGACCUCGAUCAGUAGCUCCCAA